RNAcentral lists this long non-coding RNA (548 nucleotides) under Coturnix japonica (Japanese quail). RNAcentral describes it as "lncRNA (ENSCJPG00005013852.1)". Lineage: Eukaryota; Metazoa; Chordata; Aves; Galliformes; Phasianidae. The record is from RNAcentral.
AUGAAGUCCUGGAACUACAGGCUUUUCUGCUUCAGUGCACUUGGGAGUGGUGAAUGGAAAACACUUGAAAUAAAUCUGCUGCAAGCAGCGAGGGCCUUUGUGGUACAUGGAAUGAAAAGAAGUGCUGUGUCUGAACUGCUGUGCACAGGAGAAAAUAAGGAAAUAUUCCAGCACUGGUUCGCCAGGAGGCCAGAUGCUCUUCAGCAUAAGAAUAAAGCCCUCCUAGGUUCCAGAAGGACCAGAAUGGCUACAUCUGGGAGCAGAGGCAGAAUGGCUGUUGUAAGGAAAGAAACUCCUGCUAAGAUGGAAGGAGAAACUAAAGUCUCUCUUCUACCCUGCAAGCCCGUGUCUCAGCUGUGGAGAAACUAGUUCAGUGGCUGAAAGAAAGAGUAAGUCUCCUUUUUCACCUGUACAAACCAGUAUCUCAGCUAUUAGAAGUAAGCAUUCUUCUGCUUGAGAGACAGGAUGUAGUGAGUAUGCACCAAGUGUCAUCUUGUGGUUUUACCUGUGACCACAGAGGAUGUGAAGAGCUGGGAUGGAAAAUCCAC